This is a long non-coding RNA of Balaenoptera acutorostrata (minke whale), 1063 nucleotides long. RefSeq lists it as uncharacterized. The transcript is spliced from 3 exons. The record is from RefSeq and is a predicted model, not a curated record. NCBI's taxonomy places the organism in Eukaryota, Metazoa, Chordata, Mammalia, Artiodactyla, Balaenopteridae.
UCCACCUGCCCCUCUUUCGGCGCUCCUUCCACUCAGCAUUCCAACAUGCUCAGAGUUUUCCUGUUUUAAAAAGUAAACCCUCCCCUGACCCCCACAUCACCAUCAGCUGCUGUUUUUCUCCCCCACUUCGGAGUCAAACUCCUUGAAAGAUGAGCUUAGGCUCAGAGCAUCACGCCCUCCAGCUCCUUCACUCCUCGGCCCGUCAUGUUUUUUAAUCGAACGUUUAUCGAGCUCUGUGUAUCAGGUGCUGAAUCCUCAGAACAGCAACCCAAAGAGUUCAACCCAGCAGGGAACAUCUCUCCCGGAGGAAGAAGGUGGUGAUGUUUCACCCGGCCAUCGUACACCCACAAGACAGCCCGCCCCUGCCCACCCCAAGGAGCAAUGACAGCAGCUGUUUACGCAGAUGGAACAGCCCUCACCACAGAGUGUGUCAUCCACCUGACCCUCGGGGCUGCUUGGGAAUCACACUGACUCUGGGUACCUAGGCUGGAAGAUCUGAUAAGACCCACAGCUGAUAGAACCCCCGCAGUUUUUGUGCAAAGCUUAUCUCUUUCAGCUUCACAACAGCCCUGGGGGCAGUGACCUUGACUGCAGGGUGGGCUGUCAGCCUGGAGCCUCAGGAAGAGCUGGUGUUUUUGUUCAAGAUUGAAGGCUGCCUGCUGCAGAAUGUCUUCUUGCUCAGAGGAGUUCCCCAGCCAGGGAUUGCGGAUUGAACCCAGGCCCACAGCAGUGAAAGAGCCAAGUCCUAACCACUGGAAUGGCAGGGAAUUCCCAGCAUUCUUCAUUGCAGAGAAGAUCACAGUUUGAUAACCUCAAGAAGCUCAUCAGGAGACCCCCUGAGGCCAUAUCAAAGGAACCAGAGAAGUUCACCAAGAGACCACCUGAGACCAGAUUAAAGGAAUGCAGGCCCUGCACACACCCUGCUCCUUCCCAGCAACUUCACCCUUGAACCAUUGCUAUAAAACUCCUCACCAAAUCCCCCUGGAUUGGGACACAGUUUUUGAGGCACGAGCCCACUGUGUCCCCCUUUGCCUGGCAAAGCAAUAAAGCUAUUCUUUUCUAC